AACGCACCUUGCGCUCCUUGGUAUUCCGAGGAGCAUGCCUGUUUGAGUGUCAUUAAAUCCUCAACCUCAUAUUCCUUGUGAACGUGAAGUUGGAUGUGGAAGUUUGCUGGCCUCGCGGUCAGCUCUUCUGAAAUGCAUUAGCAGGGCCGCUGUAUUGCGAGACUGUUGCUUGGUAUUGAUAGUUGUCUUACCAGGUGUCAGAGUUAGCGAUGUGCCCCCGGCUUCCAGUCGUCUCUCUGGGACAACACUUGACGAUUUGACCUCAAAUCAGGUAGGACUACCCGCUGAACUUAA
This 294-nucleotide unclassified non-coding RNA is filed under the name uncultured Pluteus. RNAcentral describes it as "sequence contains ITS2". The stretch from base 1 to 52 matches the Rfam family "5.8S ribosomal RNA", at positions 103 to 154 of the family's 154-position model. Lineage: Eukaryota; Fungi; Basidiomycota; Agaricomycetes; Agaricales; Pluteaceae. The record is from RNAcentral.